This 441-nucleotide ribosomal RNA is filed under the name Triticum aestivum (bread wheat). RNAcentral describes it as "partial small subunit ribosomal RNA". The record is from RNAcentral. Lineage: Eukaryota; Viridiplantae; Streptophyta; Magnoliopsida; Poales; Poaceae.
AUGCAUGUCCUCUCCAACUGUCCGUCCCCACCGGCAUCCUCGGCCUCCCAGAAAGAGGGCCACCCACCACCAUCACACCAAUAUAUAUUCACCGCAGAGGAGCAAAGAAUCAAAGAUGCACCUGUUAGUUGUCUCUCACACAAAGCAACACCCAUAUCCCCCCUCCAACACACGACAGUUCUUCCUCUUCCAAGGAACCCAACCAAACACAGAGUAAGAGAUGAACAUCCACUAGAGAAGCCGGCCCAGAUGGACAGGGGCGUCCUCCUGAUGAUCUUGCUGGCGGCGGCGGCGAUGCUCCUGUGCCUCCCACUGGUGCUGCCCCCGCUGCCGCCGCCGCCGGCCUUCCUGCUCUUCGUCCCUGUGGUGAUGAUGCUCCUGCUCUUCUCCCUGAUCCUCUUCCCCUCCACAAACUGCGAGUGCCCGUCUCAGUAUCAGUAG